UACGGAGGGUCCGAGCGUUAAUCGGAAUUACUGGGCGUAAAGCGUGCGCAGGCGGUUUGUUAAGCGAGAUGUGAAAGCCCUGGGCUCAACCUAGGAAUAGCAUUUCGAACUGGCGAACUAGAGUCUUGUAGAGGGGGGUAGAAUUCCAGGUGUAGCGGUGAAAUGCGUAGAGAUCUGGAGGAAUACCGGUGGCGAAGGCGGCCCCCUGGACAAAGACUGACGCUCAGGUGCGAAAGCGUGGGGAGCAAACAGG
This 253-nucleotide ribosomal RNA is filed under the name uncultured bacterium. RNAcentral describes it as "partial 16S ribosomal RNA". It matches the Rfam family "Bacterial small subunit ribosomal RNA", at positions 524 to 776 of the family's 1533-position model. The record is from RNAcentral.